AGGGAAAAACAUGGAACACGGAAGCCACCAGACAAGAAAGGAAACACUCGAAAUGAGAAAACGCAAACCACUCGCGCUCGCCGGCAUCGGCCUGACCGCCAUCACCAUGUUCCUGCUCACACCGGUAUUCCUCCUCGCGCUCGCAGGAUGCGGGAGCGCGUCCAAGACAUCGACCCCGGCCCACGCCAUCGCCGCCACCGGCACCACAUGCUCCAAAAUGUCCAGCGACAACAUCAAGGAAUGCAUCGUCACACUGUCCGACACGAGGAAAGUGGACUGUGUCGUCUACUCGGGCUACAAGCAGGGCGGCCUGUCAUGCGACUGGAGCCAUGUGAGCGUCGUGGAGACGGAGCCGGAGCGAUGAGCUACGGGGAAAUCUGUGAGCGGUACGUCAUCUGCGACGAGUGCCACACAAGACUUUUCGUCGGUGAUGCGGCCGAAGAGGAAGCCGACGACGAGGCCGCCGACCACGGCUGGCAAUGUGACGAGGACUCAGACAGGCACUACUGCCCUUCUCACUGGCAUGUCGAAUGUUAUGACUGCCAGGCCGCCGAUAGUGGCGCGCCGGACGAACUCGAACAGCAGGGAUGGCGUAUCGAUCGCGACUAUCCGUGGGACAGCCUCUGUCCGAACCACCAUCAUCUCUCAUGCCGCGAAUGCUUCAAGUCGGACAUCGGACCAUUGCACCGGCUCGAAUACGAGGGAUGGCAGAACCGGUUAAUAUUCCGGUACUACCUGUGGGAGUGACGUGGAGACGGAGUCGUGACAGCGCCGCGGACUGACGGAAUAGUCCGUUGAAGGGUGUAGAUGCUGAUUGUUCCAGGCAAAUCCGGAGCAAGAGUCGAACCUGACAGUAUGGAGCGUUCUUAGAACAAUCCAAUAGUGCGUGUAAUCAUACUUCCAAGAAAAUCCGCUAAACUUAAUCCUGCAGGUACCCGUACCGCAAACGGACACACGUAGUCGGGAUGAAUAUUCUAAGGCGCUUGAGUGAUUCACGGUUAAGGAACUAGGCAAACUGACCCUGUAACUUCGGGAUAAAGGGUCCCUACCCUUUUAUGGGAGGGCGCAGAGAAUCGGUCCAGGCAACUGUUUAACAAAAACACAGGGCUGUGCCAAAUCGAAAGAUCCAGUAUACAGCCUGACACCUGCCCGGUGCUGGAAGGUUAAGAGGAGAUGUCAUCGAUAAGAGAAGCGUUGAAUUGAAGCCCCAGUAAACGGCGGCCGUAACUAUAACGGUCCUAAGGUAGCGAAAUUCCUUGUCGGGUAAGUUCCGACCCGCACGAAUGGUGUAACGAUCUGGACGCUGUCUCAACUGCCCACCCGGCGAAAUUGUAGUACCGGUGAAGAUGCCGGUUACCCGCGGCAAGACGGAAAGACCCCAUGGAGCUUUACUGUAACUUGAUAUUGGGUCUUGGUAUUCUAUGUACAGGAUAGGCGGGAGACUGAGAAACAUACACGCCAGUGUAUGCGGAGUCACCCUUGGGAUACCGCUCUUAGAGUACUGAGAUUCUAACCUGCGGCCGUGAAUCCGGUCGGGGGACAUUGUCAGGUGGGCAGUUUGACUGGGGCGGUCGCCUCCUAAAAGGUAACGGAGGCGCUCAAAGGUUAGCUCAGCACGGUCGGAAACCGUGCCUCUGAGUGUAAACGCAAAAGCUAGCCUAACUGCGAGGCUGACGGGCCGAGCAGUAACGAAAGUUGGAGUUAGUGAUCCGGCGGUAUGUGAAUGGAAAUGCCGUCGCUCAACGGAUAAAAGCUACCCUGGGGAUAACAGGCUGAUCUCCCCCAAGAGUCCACAUCGACGGGGAGGUUUGGCACCUCGAUGUCGGCUCAUCACAUCCUGGGGCUGAAUUCGGUCCCAAGGGUUCGGCUGUUCGCCGAUUAAAGUGGUACGCGAGCUGGGUUCAGAACGUCGUGAGACAGUUCGGUCCCUAUCUGUCGUGGGCGCAGGAUAUUUGAAAGGAGCUGUCCCUAGUACGAGAGGACCGGGAUGGACGCACCUCUGGUGCACCAGUUGUCACGCCAGUGGCACAGCUGGGCAGCUAUGUGCGGAACGGAUAAACGCUGAAAGCAUCUAAGCGUGAAGCCGACUCCAAGAUUAGAUAUCCCAUCGUAUAACGAGUAAGACCCCUUGAAGACUACGAGGUUGAUAGGCUGCGUGUGUAAGUGCCGUGAGGCAUUCAGCUUGGCAGUACUAAUAGACCGAGGGCUUGAACU
This 2214-nucleotide ribosomal RNA is filed under the name human gut metagenome. RNAcentral's name for it is "bacterial LSU rRNA". The stretch from base 486 to 2212 matches the Rfam family "Bacterial large subunit ribosomal RNA". The record is from RNAcentral.